RNAcentral lists this non-coding RNA (29 nucleotides) under Mus musculus (house mouse). The record is from RNAcentral. Lineage: Eukaryota; Metazoa; Chordata; Mammalia; Rodentia; Muridae.
UGUAAAUCUGUAUGGUUAUUAAGGUUGGC